GACGAACGCUGGCGGCGUGCUUAACACACGCAAGUCGAACGGAAAGGCCCUGCUUUUGUGGGGUGCUCGAAUGGCGAACGGGUGAGUAACACGUGAGUAACCUGCCCUUGACUUUGGGAUAACUUCAGGAAACUGGGGCUAAUAACGGAUAGGAGCUCCUGCUGCAUGGUGGGGGUUGGAAAGUUUAGGCGGUUGGGGAUGGGCCCGCGGGUUAUCAGCUUGUUGGGGGGGUAGUGGCUUACCAAGGCUUUGACGGGUAGGCGGCCGGAGAGGGGGACCGGCCACAUUGGGACUGGGAAACGGCCCAAACUCCUACGGGAGGCAGCAGUGGGGAAUAUUGCACAAUGGGCGGAAGCCUGAUGCAGGAACGCCGCGUGCGGGAUGACGGCCUUCGGGUUGUAAACCGCUUUCGCCUGUGACAAAGCGUGAGUGACAGUAAUGGGUAAAGAAGCACCGGCUAACUACGUG
Molecule: ribosomal RNA, 468 nt
Filed under: uncultured bacterium
Lineage: Bacteria
Description: partial 16S ribosomal RNA
Rfam family: Bacterial small subunit ribosomal RNA
Source: RNAcentral